Non-coding RNA from Sus scrofa (pig), 3007 nucleotides. The record is from RefSeq and is a predicted model, not a curated record. NCBI's taxonomy places the organism in Eukaryota, Metazoa, Chordata, Mammalia, Artiodactyla, Suidae.
AUUUCUCCUACUUCUGAAGUCUGGGAGAUCCAAGAUCAAGGAACAGGCAGAUCUGCUGUCUGGUGAGGGUCAACUUCACGGCUGAUAGAGGACCACCUUCUUGCUGUGUCCUCACAAGGGGUCUCUUUUUUAAGGUCAUUAAUCCCAUUCAGAACCUUUUCACUUCCCAAAGACCCCACCUCCAAAUACCAUCACAUUGGAGAUUAGGAUCUAACCUAUGAAUUUGGGUGGGGACAACACAGACAUUCAUCUGUAGUUCAGACCAUCUAAAUCCAUGAAGUUUAAAUAAAUUUGAGACAGUCAAAAAUCAGGACAGCAGUAUUUUGGCUUCUCUUCCACCAUGUAAAUCACGCUAAAAAUUUUUGUCUAGGCGCAUGAUUCACAGCCUCACGUUAGAGGGUUUCUUGAAAAGGCUUCAGCCAUUUGUUUUGUCAGAGGUUCAGGCCAUUGUUCAGCGUUGAGAGAUAACAGGAAUACAGUUUAAUGUGCUACAGAUGUCUGGGACGGUGACUCAGGCUCCUGGCAGAAAUCCAAGUCAGGAAACCUGCUGUUGCAAUUCGUAUUCUUCUUCGUGUCAGUGCCGGAAACAGCCCGCGCUGUAAUUGCAGAGUUUAUAGUGAUGUAAAUGCAGCCAAACCCCAAGUGAAGCCUCACAGAUGUACAUCAUUAGGAAAGCUCUCAGCCUGUCUUCUCUGCUGUUCAGAGGCGAUUCAUUUGCAAUCAACUUCAAAGACUCUGUGGACGGGAAGAAUGUUCUCUCAUGCUGUCGAGCUCACUUGAAAAUCUGCCCUCCUGACACUUUGAUAAAAGCUUUUUGCCAUCUUUGCAUUUGCAACAUGCGGUGGCUAUUCCGGAGGCCUGCGGCUGAGUGUGGACUGCGUCAACAAGACAGAAAGUAACCUCAGCAUCGACGUAGCGUUUGCCUAUCCAUUCAGGUUACACCAGGUGACGUUUGAGGUGCCCACCUGCGAGGGGAAGGAGCGGCAGAAGGUGGCCCUGAUUGGUGACUCCUCAUCUUCAGCUGAGUUCUUCGUCACUGUCGCUGUCUUCGCCUUCCUCUACUCCUUGGCUGCCACUGUCGUUUACAUUUUCUUUCAGAACAAGUAUCGAGAAAACAACCGGGGUCCACUCAUCGACUUUAUCGUCACUGUAGUCUUUUCAUUCUUGUGGUUGGUGGGUUCCUCAGCUUGGGCGAAAGGGCUGUCUGACGUCAAGGUUGCUACAGAUCCCAAAGAAGUGUUGUUACUGAUGUCAGCUUGCAAACAACCGUCCAACAAGUGCACAGCCGUCCACAGCCCUGUGAUGUCCAGCCUGAACACUUCCGUGGUCUUUGGAUUCUUGAACUUUAUCCUCUGGGCUGGAAACAUCUGGUUUGUUUUCAAGGAGACCGGCUGGCAUUCCUCGGGACAGAGAUAUCUUUCAGACCCAAUGGAAAAGCACUCCAGUAGCUUCAACCAAGGUGGAUACAACCAAGACAGCUAUGGCUCGAGCAGUGGGUACAGCCAGCAGGCGAGUUUGGGGCCAUCCUCAGAUGAGUUUGGCCAACAGCCCAGUGGCCCUGCCUCUUUUACCAACCAGAUUUAACAGGGUGAUGUUGGAAAUCUUUGGAAGAUAGUCUUACCACUUUCCAUGUCAGUGGCAGAAGAAUUUUUUAAGAGUUUCAAUUAUUAAUGCAGAGAGUGUUGAAUGUAAAUCAGAGAUCUGUAGUCCUCAUUAAGGCAGAAAGGCCUGAGUUGUGAUAAAUGGUACUGAGAGAUAAGAUGACAUGAGGAGAUAGAUUAUUCAUUAUGGAUGGCUAAUUGGAGAGUACCUUGUUAUAUACACAGGUACUUUUAUGGUCGUUUUGUAUGCGUGUCGAGAUAGAAGCAUUUUGUAGCUUGAAGUCUCUAGUAUGUAAUAUGCAAAAAGCCAAUUAAAUAGCAUUGAGUUUUCUUAUGCAUUUCGAUGCGAAAGACGUUUUAACGAUUUCUCAAAGAUGAUUUGGUGCAUCACAACGUGCAUGUAUUAUUAUUUUUAGUUGCAGGCCCUGUAGGAUUGUGAAUCUCUUAAGUAUUGGUUUUAGACAAUUACUCUGUAUUUUUUUUAUUUGUGAAUCAAUGCUCAUAUGAUUUAGUGCAUGAAUAAGCAUUUCCUCACACAAUGAACAUUUGAACUGUAUUUAUGAAAAUUUUCCAGUUUGCACCAUGAAUUUGUUAAAUGGACGUUUAAAGAAAUAUAUUCACUACUUUGCAUUCUUGCAAAUCUGUCUCUCUGGCUUUAUCCAAUUUUGAAUGCAUUGUAACUAAGGUUUGGAUUUUUUUCUCCUGAUUAGUAGAUAUUCAGUAUUCUAGAUGGUAAUUGCCCAAUAUUUAUUCUAUUUAGUUAGCUAAAUAUUUACAUUCUUGUAACUUUCUAUGAUGUGUUGUGGUUCUUAUCCUAUGGACUGUGAACAAUAAGCCCACUAACUGUUUGUUGAUGGAGAGUUUUUUUCCUUAGAAUAAUGGAGAUGCAGCUAUUAGACACCAUAAUCAAGAAGAUAUCAAGCUGAUAGAUUUAUGUGUGAAGGACAUUCUGUGGAAGCUACACUACCAACUAAACGAAUGAAUCCUAUUUAUUUCCAAAGUUAAUAUGUUCCUCGAACCAAUUAUUAAAAAUUCUCGUCUCAACUUACAAAGUCUGAUUUGAAUGUUACCCAUAAAUUAAAAAUGACUUCUAUGAACCACUCUGUAUCCCAAAGUGUUCUCAUUAAAUAUUCCCCAGAAUGUAUUAAUGAUCAAGAAAAUGUCCAUUCACCUCUUUAAUUCAGUUGAAACACCAGGGCCCAGCAGUGAGGGCAAGCUCAGCAUCUCUAUUUUCAGAUAUAAGUCAUUAUCAAUGUACAAACCCAUUGUGUGAUCUGUGAUGCUGGAAACAUUUUAGCACAAAGCAGAUGUAUGUCUUAGAUGAUAUCUGUAAACAGUUUCUGGAUCCUGUUGGAUAAAUCUGUAUUGUGAUAUCUAUUUGAACUUAAUAAAGUUAUUGCAUACAA